UCAACCUGGGAACUGCAUUCGAAACUGGCAGGCUUGAGUCUUGUAGAGGGGGGUAGAAUUCCAGGUGUAGCGGUGAAAUGCGUAGAGAUCUGGAGGAAUACCGGUGGCGAAGGCGGCCCCCUGGACAAAGACUGACGCUCAGGUGCGAAAGCGUGGGGAGCAAACAGGAUUAGAUACCCUGGUAGUCCACGCCGUAAACGAUGUCUACUUGGAGGUUGUGCCCUUGAGGCGUGGCUUCCGGAGCUAACGCGUUAAGUAGACCGCCUGGGGAGUACGGCCGCAAGGUUAAAACUCAAAUGAAUUGACGGGGGCCCGCACAAGCGGUGGAGCAUGUGGUUUAAUUCGAUGCAACGCGAAGAACCUUACCUGGUCUUGACAUCCACAGAACUUUCCAGAGAUGGAUUGGUGCCUUCGGGAACUGUGAGACAGGUGCUGCAUGGCUGUCGUCAGCUCGUGUUGUGAAAUGUUGGGUUAAGUCCCGCAACGAGCGCAAC
This 494-nucleotide ribosomal RNA is filed under the name Salmonella enterica. RNAcentral's name for it is "bacterial SSU rRNA". It matches the Rfam family "Bacterial small subunit ribosomal RNA", at positions 609 to 1102 of the family's 1533-position model. Lineage: Bacteria; Pseudomonadati; Pseudomonadota; Gammaproteobacteria; Enterobacterales; Enterobacteriaceae. The record is from RNAcentral.